GAGGGUAUAGCUCAGAGGUAGAGUGCUUGCCUAGCAUGCAUGAGAUCCUGGGUUCAAUUCCUAGUACCUCUG
This 72-nucleotide transfer RNA is filed under the name Camelus bactrianus (Bactrian camel). It matches the Rfam family "tRNA". From Rfam's summary of the family: Transfer RNA (tRNA) molecules are approximately 80 nucleotides in length. Their secondary structure includes four short double-helical elements and three loops (D, anti-codon, and T loops). The record is from Rfam by way of RNAcentral. Lineage: Eukaryota; Metazoa; Chordata; Mammalia; Artiodactyla; Camelidae. RNAcentral also lists the same sequence under 1 other name.